Molecule: ribosomal RNA, 1372 nt
Filed under: uncultured bacterium
Lineage: Bacteria
Description: bacterial SSU rRNA
Rfam family: Bacterial small subunit ribosomal RNA
Source: RNAcentral
GAUGAACGCUGGCGGCGUGCCUAAUACAUGCAAGUCGAGCGAACGGACGAGAAGCUUGCUUCUCUGAUGUUAGCGGCGGACGGGUGAGUAACACGUGGAUAACCUACCUAUAAGACUGGGAUAACUUCGGGAAACCGGAGCUAAUACCGGAUAAUAUUUUGAACCGCAUGGUUCAAAAGUGAAAGACGGUCUUGCUGUCACUUAUAGAUGGAUCCGCGCUGCAUUAGCUAGUUGGUAAGGUAACGGCUUACCAAGGCAACGAUGCAUAGCCGACCUGAGAGGGUGAUCGGCCACACUGGAACUGAGACACGGUCCAGACUCCUACGGGAGGCAGCAGUAGGGAGUCUUCCGCAAUGGGCGAAAGCCUGACGGAGCAACGCCGCGUGAGUGAUGAAGGUCUUCGGAUCGUAAAACUCUGUUAUUAGGGAAGAACAUAUGUGUAAGUAACUGUGCACAUCUUGACGGUACCUAAUCAGAAAGCCACGGCUAACUACGUGCCAGCAGCCGCGGUAAUACGUAGGUGGCAAGCGUUAUCCGGAAUUAUUGGGCGUAAAGCGCGCGUAGGCGGUUUUUUAAGUCUGAUGUGAAAGCCCACGGCUCAACCGUGGAGGGUCAUUGGAAACUGGAAAACUUGAGUGCAGAAGAGGAAAGUGGAAUUCCAUGUGUAGCGGUGAAAUGCGCAGAGAUAUGGAGGAACACCAGUGGCGAAGGCGACUUUCUGGUCUGUAACUGACGCCGAUGUGCGAAAGCGUGGGGAUCAAACAGGAUUAGAUACCCUGGUAGUCCACGCCGUAAACGAUGAGUGCUAAGUGUUAGGGGGUUUCCGCCCCUUAGUGCUGCAGCUAACGCAUUAAGCACUCCGCCUGGGGAGUACGACCGCAAGGUUGAAACUCAAAGGAAUUGACGGGGACCCGCACAAGCGGUGGAGCAUGUGGUUUAAUUCGAAGCAACGCGAAGAACCUUACCAAAUCUUGACAUCCUUUGACAACUCUAGAGAUAGAGCUUUCCCCUUCGGGGGACAAAGUGACAGGUGGUGCAUGGUUGUCGUCAGCUCGUGUCGUGAGAUGUUGGGUUAAGUCCCGCAACGAGCGCAACCCUUAAGCUUAGUUGCCAUCAUUAAGUUGGGCACUCUAAGUUGACUGCCGGUGACAAACCGGAGGAAGGUGGGGAUGACGUCAAAUCAUCAUGCCCCUUAUGAUUUGGGCUACACACGUGCUACAAUGGACAAUACAAAGGGCAGCGAAACCGUGAGGUCAAGCAAAUCCCAUAAAGUUGUUCUCAGUUCGGAUUGUAGUCUGCAACUCGACUACAUGAAGCUGGAAUCGCUAGUAAUCGUAGAUCAGCAUGCUACGGUGAAUACGUUCCCGGGUCU